This 42-nucleotide transfer RNA is filed under the name Cercopithecus cephus cephus. RNAcentral's name for it is "partial tRNA-Thr". The record is from RNAcentral. Lineage: Eukaryota; Metazoa; Chordata; Mammalia; Primates; Cercopithecidae.
GCCCUUGUAGUAUAAAACAACACGCUAGCCUUGUAAACUAGA